Molecule: ribosomal RNA, 452 nt
Filed under: uncultured bacterium
Lineage: Bacteria
Description: bacterial SSU rRNA
Rfam family: Bacterial small subunit ribosomal RNA
Source: RNAcentral
UACGGGAGGCAGCAGUGGGGAAUAUUGCACAAUGGGCGCAAGCCUGAUGCAGCCAUGCCGCGUGUAUGAAAAAGGCCUUCGGGUUGUAAAGUACUUUCAGUCGUGAGGAAGGUGUUAAGGUUAAUAACCUUAGCAAUUGACGUUAGCGACAGAAGAAGCACCGGCUAACUCCGUGCCAGCAGCCGCGGUAAUCGGAGGUGCGAGCGCUAAUCGGAAUUACUGGGCGUAAAGGGCACGCAGGCGGUUAAUUAAGUUGGAUGUGAAAUCCCCGGGCUUAACCUGGGAAUGGCAUUCAAGACUGGUUAGCUAGAGUCUUGUAGAGGGGGUAGAAUUCCAUGUGUAGCGGUGAAAUGCGUAGAGAUGUGGAGGAAUACCGGUGGCGAAGGCGGCCCCUGGACAAAGGACUGACGCUCAUGUGCGAAAGCGUGGGGAGCAAACAGGGAUUAGAUACC